CAGCCGCCGCGGUAAUACAGAGGGUGCGAGCGUUAAUCGGAUUUACUGGGCGUAAAGCGUGCGUAGGCGGCUUUUUAAGUCGGAUGUGAAAUCCCUGAGCUUAACUUAGGAAUUGCAUUCGAUACUGGGAAGCUAGAGUAUGGGAGAGGAUGGUAGAAUUCCAGGUGUAGCGGUGAAAUGCGUAGAGAUCUGGAGGAAUACCGAUGGCGAAGGCAGCCAUCUGGCCUAAUACUGACGCUGAGGUACGAAAGCAUGGGGAGCAAACAGGAUUAGAUACCCCAGUAGUCCCUGUCUCUUAUAU
RNAcentral lists this ribosomal RNA (301 nucleotides) under uncultured bacterium. Its description in RNAcentral is "partial 16S ribosomal RNA". It matches the Rfam family "Bacterial small subunit ribosomal RNA", at positions 509 to 809 of the family's 1533-position model. The record is from RNAcentral.